This is a long non-coding RNA of Schistocerca serialis cubense, 813 nucleotides long. RefSeq lists it as uncharacterized. Lineage: Eukaryota; Metazoa; Arthropoda; Insecta; Orthoptera; Acrididae. The transcript has 3 exons. The record is from RefSeq and is a predicted model, not a curated record.
UGAGACGGAAACUGAAGCCAUGAAGCAGCAGCUGCAAACGAGGAAACCGUCCAGUGCAUUCCAGGAAUUCCGAGCUCCUGACGAUAAUGCUUUCCUGGUUCUCUUCUCCGUCAAUCGAACGGCGAUAAGGGACCAGCCAGUCACAGCCAAAGCGACGGACCUGGCGGGCCCAGAAUUCCCAAACUGAGGGCUGGCCAGCGCCACAGUCCUCUGUUGCCAUAAACUCUGGGCGUGCUUCAGCGACCACCGUCGUGCGUGGCUGAGGGACAUUGUCUGUCUUGAGGAACGGGAGAUCCACAAGGAUUAUUGGAAGACCAUUAACAACAAGACUUUGACAAUGAAAAUGAGAGUGACAGUGAAGAGACUGAAUCUGUUGAAGAUGGGUCCAUAGAAACAUCAGUCAAAUACAGAUGUUAGAGACUGCCAGAAAUUGACCAAGCAAAGAGGCAGAUGGAUCAAGCAGCCUCCAUUUCAAAUCCUAAUCGGAAGGAAACUAACCAGAGCUGAUGAUGUGGACUUGUAUUUCCAACUGCUGGCAAGAAACGAAAAUAAACAAAUAUAAAUGAAAAUAAAAAUUUGAUGAAGAAGAGAGAGAGAGAGAGAGAGAGAGAGAGAGAGGGAGGAAAUAAUUCAAACAAUAGACAAUUUUUUGUACAAAAAGCAAUGAAAACAUUAUAUAACACUCCAUCAAAGUUUAUCUGAUACCCAAUAUUUACAGUACCUGCAGCAGCCAAACAGCAAAGGACAUACUAAGAAACAAGUUACGCCAUUGCCGACAUACUUAAUACAAAGGGCAUUUUAAUGUCCAAAUGU